RNAcentral lists this ribosomal RNA (468 nucleotides) under uncultured bacterium. Its description in RNAcentral is "partial 16S ribosomal RNA". It matches the Rfam family "Bacterial small subunit ribosomal RNA", at positions 28 to 507 of the family's 1533-position model. The record is from RNAcentral.
GACGAACGCUGGCGGCGUGCUUAACACAUGCAAGUCGAACGGAAAGGCGCGGCGUUUGUGGGGUGCUCGAGUGGCGAACGGGGGAGUAACACGUGAGUAACCUGCCCUUGACUUUGGGAUAACUUCAGGAAACUGGGGCGAAUACCGGGUAGGAGCUCCUGCUGCAUGGGGGGGGUUGGAAAGAGACGGCGGUGGUGGAUGGACUCGCGGCUUAUCAGCUGGAUGGGGGGGUAGUGGCAUACCAAGGCUUUGAAGGGUAGCCGGCCUGAGAGGGUGACCGGCCACCUUGGGCCUGCGAUACGGCCCAGACUCCUACGGGAGGCAGCAGGGGGGAACCUUGCGCAAUGGGCGGAAGCCUGAUGCAGCAACGCCGCGUGCGGGAUGACGGCCUUCGGGGUGUAAACCGCUUUCGCCUGUGACGAAGCGUGCGUGACGGUAAUGGGUAAAGAAGCACCGGCUAACUACGUG